UACGAAGGGGGCUAGCGUUGUUCGGAAUUACUGGGCGUAAAGCGCACGUAGGCGGAUAUUUAAGUCAGGGGUGAAAUCCCAGAGCUCAACUCUGGAACUGCCUUUGAUACUGGGUAUCUUGAGUAUGGAAGAGGUAAGUGGAAUUGCGAGUGUAGAGGUGAAAUUCGUAGAUAUUCGCAGGAACACCAGUGGCGAAGGCGGCUUACUGGCCCGAUACUGACGCUGAGGUGCGAAAGCGUGGGGAGCAAACAGG
RNAcentral lists this ribosomal RNA (253 nucleotides) under uncultured bacterium. RNAcentral's name for it is "partial 16S ribosomal RNA". It matches the Rfam family "Bacterial small subunit ribosomal RNA", at positions 524 to 776 of the family's 1533-position model. The record is from RNAcentral.